GACGAACGCUGGCGGCGUGCUUAACACAUGCAAGUCGAACGCUGAAGCCCAGCUUGCUGGGUGGAUGAGUGGCGAACGGGUGAGUAACACGUGAGUAACCUGCCCCGAACUCUGGGAUAAGCGCUGGAAACGGCGUCUAAUACUGGAUAUGUCCUAUCACCGCAUGGUGUGUAGGUGGAAAGAAUUUUGGUUCGGGAUGGACUCGCGGCCUAUCAGCUAGAUGGUGAGGUAAUGGCUCACCAUGGCGACGACGGGUAGCCGGCCUGAGAGGGUGACCGGCCACACUGGGACUGAGACACGGCCCAGACUCCUACGGGAGGCAGCAGUGGGGAAUAUUGCACAAUGGGCGCAAGCCUGAUGCAGCAACGCCGCGUGAGGGAUGACGGCCUUCGGGUUGUAAACCUCUUUUAGUAGGGAAGAAGCGCAAGUGACGGUACCUGCAGAAAAAGCACCGGCUAACUACGUGCCAGCCGCCGCCGUAAAAC
This 485-nucleotide ribosomal RNA is filed under the name uncultured bacterium. Its description in RNAcentral is "bacterial SSU rRNA". It matches the Rfam family "Bacterial small subunit ribosomal RNA", at positions 28 to 526 of the family's 1533-position model. The record is from RNAcentral.